This 253-nucleotide ribosomal RNA is filed under the name uncultured bacterium. RNAcentral describes it as "partial 16S ribosomal RNA". It matches the Rfam family "Bacterial small subunit ribosomal RNA", at positions 524 to 776 of the family's 1533-position model. The record is from RNAcentral.
GACGGAGGGUGCAACCGUUGUUCGGAAUCACUGGGCGUAAAGGGCGCGUAGGCGGACUUGUAAGUCGGGCGUGAAAACUCGGGGCUCAACCCCGAGCCUGCUUCCGAAACUGCGAGUCUUGAGGACCGGAGAGGAAAGUGGAAUUCCUAGUGUAGCGGUGGAAUGCGUAGAUAUUAGGAAGAACACCAGUGGCGAAGGCGACUUUCUGGACGGUUCCUGACGCUGAGGCGCGAAAGCUAGGGGAGCAAACAGG